AGCCCUGUAGUCUAGGCACCUUCCCAGUUUCAUGCGGAUGGUGGGAAUAUGGCCAAGGAUAGCUGCCUCUGGAGCAGCGGACCCAGGUUCGAAUCCUGGCAGGGCUA
This 107-nucleotide transfer RNA is filed under the name Candidatus Aenigmatarchaeota archaeon. RNAcentral describes it as "tRNA-Gln". The record is from RNAcentral. Lineage: Archaea; Nanobdellati; Candidatus Aenigmatarchaeota.